This is a long non-coding RNA of Salmo salar (Atlantic salmon), 1339 nucleotides long. RefSeq lists it as uncharacterized. The record is from RefSeq and is a predicted model, not a curated record. NCBI's taxonomy places the organism in Eukaryota, Metazoa, Chordata, Actinopteri, Salmoniformes, Salmonidae.
CAAUAGGUAAGACUGUACAUUGCAGUAUGAAUGUCCAAUACACACAAGACUGCCUGGUGAGGUGAUUUCCCACAGUCAAAGUCCUGCAAUAUGAGCUACAAUGGUAAUAUUUGGCUACACUCUUCAUAAUUGUGUUCUGUGGGUGUCACUGAAUAGGCUGAUACCCCAUUUCAUUGAUCCACAAUCCAUAGGUAAGGCUGUACAGUGAAAUAUAAGUAUGCCCCCAAUGCAAUUAUGAAAUCUAAUAAAUCCACAGUGCGACUUCAAUCGAUUUGCCAUUUUUUGGUCAAAUUAACUUAGUCUUUUGUUGAAUUUAUAUAACUUGUUAAGCAGUAUCUAGCGCAAAUAUGCCAUGAUUUCACAAUGUGCCAUUUCAAUGCGGGGCCUUUAUUUUGAAGGUGAACCGCAAAAAUAUGUGUGUUUAGCUUUACAUACAGUGCUGGCCGAUACUGAAAACAGAUUACAUGCUUUCCGUGUGGAGGUAUGCAUCGAAAACUUGGGUCAGCUAGCUGCUACAAGGGACUUACAGGUGGAGUGGCAUUGCUGACAGGCCAGGGACCAUACUCACAAAGAAUCUCAGAGACACUGCAUGGCUGUGACAUGGGCCUGGAUGGUGACACAUCUUCAAGCUGCCGGACUGAAGACUGGCCUUCAUUGGUACCAGAAGCAAGGGUCUUACCUGGGAAUACAACAACAGUCUCCCUCUCGGUCUCACAGCCUUUCCUGUCAACAUGUAUGUAACCACUCAAAUUCAUACCAACAGCUACGGACACAAGCACUGACUUUUAUUCACUUAUUUUUACUUGUCGCAGUCUUCAAUCUUGUCUGGGAUAUAUAUUUUAGUUGCCAAACCUGUGUGAUGUCUGAUAUACAUGAAAAAUGUAUUCACCUUGGACAUGAGAAUUGUAUUUACUUUAGACCUUUUGAAUCAUAAGUGUUGUCUUUGUGUUUAAGCUACCACAGAAGUUAGUCAAAGCUAAUGUGACAAACAUGCAUGUAAAAAUUGUUUUGUAAUCUAACAAUACAAUGAAAAUGAGUUUAUACAAUACUAUAUUGCAUUUGGUCACCACCUAAAUGUGGCCUUUAAAAGCCUUGAUAGUUGCAUCCUUCCUCAGUGAACUGUCUGCGGGUGGCAGGUUUUUUCAUGUGCUGCUCUAGAGUUCCACAGCCCAGUAGACUCACCUGUGGAUAGGGGGAUGGACGUGUUAGUUUUGAUAAAAGUCUGGGAGACUGGAGACUUUUACAGGGAGAAGAUCGCAUGAGUUUUGGCAUGAGUACAGUGAACCAAAUUUCAACCAGUGGCUCUGGAUAAUAUGUGACCCACCACCUGGAUUCGGUC